UCGAGAAUCUUCGGCAAUGGGCGCAAGCCUGACCGAGCGACGCCGCGUGGAGGACGAAGGCCUUCGGGUUGUAAACUCCUGUCGAGGGGGAAGAAGGCGCAAGCUUGACUGAACCCUGGAGGAAGCACGGGCUAAGUUCGUGCCAGCAGCCGCGGUAAGACGAACCGUGCGAACGUUAUUCGGAAUCACUGGGCUUAAAGCGCGUGUAGGCGGGACGGCACGUCGGUCGCUGAAAGCCCCCGGCUCAACCGGGGAACGGGCGCCGAGACGACCGCCCUGGAGGGACGUAGGGGGACCUGGAACUUCCGGUGGAGCGGUGAAAUGCGUUGAGAUCGGAAGGAACGCCCGUGGCGAAAGCGAGGUCCUGGACGUCUGCUGACGCUGAGACGCGAAAGCCAGGGGAGCGAACG
This 410-nucleotide ribosomal RNA is filed under the name uncultured bacterium. RNAcentral describes it as "bacterial SSU rRNA". It matches the Rfam family "Bacterial small subunit ribosomal RNA", at positions 355 to 774 of the family's 1533-position model. The record is from RNAcentral.